UAGGGUGGAGGCCCGCAUCAGAGCAUCCAUAUUCAUCGGACCCUACUAACGGCAGAGCGCUGACAGCAAAGAGGCGGGGCCACAAGUGCCUCACCUCAAGGAACCGCCCCCCAUCCCUAAGAGAGUGCGAGUUCCCUGCAGUUCAUUUAAAGCACUGGAGUGGAGUGUGAUCUUCUAGAAUCAACUCUCUGCAGCGGCCAGCAGGACUACGGACGCCA
This is a long non-coding RNA of Polypterus senegalus (gray bichir), 218 nucleotides long. RefSeq lists it as uncharacterized. The transcript is spliced from 3 exons. The record is from RefSeq and is a predicted model, not a curated record. Lineage: Eukaryota; Metazoa; Chordata; Cladistia; Polypteriformes; Polypteridae.